Non-coding RNA from Pteropus alecto (black flying fox), 147 nucleotides. The record is from Rfam. NCBI's taxonomy places the organism in Eukaryota, Metazoa, Chordata, Mammalia, Chiroptera, Pteropodidae.
CCUCCUCUUCCUGGUGAAGAUUGAGCAUGUGGCUCCAAUCUCCAUAAUGUACGGAAACAGAGGAAAAGGGCUCUGGUCCUUUUCAUGUCAUAUCUUUGGUGCUGGUGGCUUUCAGGCCGUGGGUUCUAUCCUCAAGUGAUCAGACAG